Molecule: ribosomal RNA, 734 nt
Filed under: uncultured archaeon
Lineage: Archaea
Description: bacterial SSU rRNA
Rfam family: Archaeal small subunit ribosomal RNA
Source: RNAcentral
UGCGAGUCUAAGGGGUACUUGUACCCCUGGCAUAAUGCUCAGUAACACGUGCGAUAAUCUACCCUUAGGUGGGGCAUAAACCCGGGAAACUGGGGCUAAUUCCCCAUAGAUACAGAAGGCUGGAAUGCCUCUGUAUUCAAAGCUCCGGCGCCUAAGGAUGAGUCUGCGACCUAUCAGGUAGUAGUCAGGGUCACGACCUGACUAGCCAACGACGGGUACGGGGUGUGAGAGCACUUGCCCGGAGAUGGUUUCUGAGACACGAAACCAGGCCCUACGGGGCGCAGCAGGCGCGAAAACUUCGCAAUGCGGGAAACCGUGACGAGGGAACUCCAAGUGUCUAUGCAAUGCAUAGACUGUUUUUCAGCCUAAAUAGCUGUUAGAGUAAGGGGUGGGUAAGACCGGUGCCAGCCGCCGCGGUAACACCGGCACCCCGAGUGGUAGCCACUAUUAUUGGGCCUAAAGCGUUCGUAGCCGGUUUAGUAAAUUCUUGGGUAAAUCGUACAGCUUAACCGUGCGGAUUCCGGGGACACUACUAGACUUGAGACCGGGAGAGAUUAGAGGUACUUGCAGGGGAGCGGUGAAAUGUUGUAAUCCUGCAGGGACCACCAGUGGCGAAGGCGUCUAAUCAUAACGGCUCUGACGGUGAGGAACGAAACCCUGGGGCGCAAACGGGAUUAGAUACCCCGGUAGUCCAGGGCGUAAACGCUGCUGACUUGGUGUUGGAGAUCCUACGA